AAAAACUUAGGAUAAAUAAACCAAGGGCCUUCAAAGCCCUAAAUAUGGGCAAAUUCCCAUAGUUUUUG
RNAcentral lists this transfer RNA (68 nucleotides) under Anolis alayoni. RNAcentral describes it as "tRNA-Trp". It matches the Rfam family "tRNA". From Rfam's summary of the family: Transfer RNA (tRNA) molecules are approximately 80 nucleotides in length. Their secondary structure includes four short double-helical elements and three loops (D, anti-codon, and T loops). Lineage: Eukaryota; Metazoa; Chordata; Lepidosauria; Squamata; Anolidae. The record is from RNAcentral.